This 31-nucleotide non-coding RNA is filed under the name Homo sapiens (human). The record is from RNAcentral. Lineage: Eukaryota; Metazoa; Chordata; Mammalia; Primates; Hominidae.
UGCACACGGAACCACCCUGUCUCCGGGGAGC